UUCAUAGCUUCAUUAAUACAAAUAAAAUUAAUUACUUUCUAAGAAGAAAUUAUUAACAAACAAAAAACAUGAGACUAGUGCUUGGUUAUAAUUCCUGAUAUCGUUAUCUGAUGACAGGUUUGAGUGGUGCUGGUGAGCAUCUUCGGAGAUGCAACGUAGUGCCUAUUAGGUGGCAAUGUACCCGGAAAAAACAAAGAAUGCUUUUAAAUCAAUAUACAUUCCUGGACACUUAUUUUGAAUAAGACAAAGUACUAAGGGCUGCAGUGGGAACAUACAUGAUAAAGAACAUCCUAGCCCUCGAGGCAAUUAUUAUGCUUUGAUUAUUUUUAAGUACAUUAUGAUGUAAUGACCAUAGGUUUUAGCAGCUCAGAAAUAUUCUAAGUGUACAAACCAUUGACACCCCAAUUUCUCACAUAGCCCUGUCGUAGCUAGUCUAUAAUUAUUCCUCAGAAUGUCUUAACAAUGGGAAUGAUUGUAAAGCAUUUUAUGCUGUAACUUUUUUGUUGUUGUUUUGAGACGGACCAGGAUACUCCGAGUUUCUGAACCCUGUGUCACUCCUGAAUUUUUAGAAAAAAUAAUUAAUCUUUUCCUUUCUUAGGGAGGUAAGACAUUUCUGAGAUGUCAAUAAGGGAAUUAUAGGAUUGAUCUCUCUGCACCAGAUGUUAGAGAUUUGAUAAUUAAGAUAAUGUUCUCCAAAAAACUGAGACAACCCUCAAGUAUUAUGAGUAAUUAAAACAUUCUGAUCUUACCCCAGGUGAAGUAUAGUUGUAAAUAGUAACCACAAAUUCUGAUUAUUUGGCAGACCAAAGUGAAAAACUAAACAGUUGAAAAACCUAAAUCUCUUUUGCAUAAGAAAUAAUUCUGUCUUGUUUCUCGCCUCUUCUCCUUUGAGCCAAUAACAAAUAAAAAUUU
This is a long non-coding RNA of Sapajus apella (tufted capuchin), 912 nucleotides long. RefSeq lists it as uncharacterized. Lineage: Eukaryota; Metazoa; Chordata; Mammalia; Primates; Cebidae. The record is from RefSeq and is a predicted model, not a curated record. The transcript is spliced from 2 exons.